UUUUAUUUAUAAAUUCAUUUAUCAUUUGGUAUAAUUAACAUCUUAAAUUUAUUCAUAGUGUAAUAAAUUGAACUAAUUAGUCUAAAAUUAGAUAAUAUAGAAUCAAUUAUUAUAAAACUAAAUUUAUAGUUUAUUAAAAAAAAUCAUAUCAACAUGAUCCUAACCAAUCUCUUGUAUUUUUACAAGCUUAAGUACAUCGAAAACAUGCAAUAAUAAGAUUUUAAAAACUACUAAAACCCUAAAAAACCAA
RNAcentral lists this long non-coding RNA (250 nucleotides) under Gossypium raimondii (Peruvian cotton). RNAcentral's name for it is "long non-coding RNA (GRAI_LNC010507)". The record is from RNAcentral. Lineage: Eukaryota; Viridiplantae; Streptophyta; Magnoliopsida; Malvales; Malvaceae.